CGGACGGGUGAGUAAUGUCUGGGAAACUGCCCGAUGGAGGGGGAUAACUACUGGAAACGGUAGCUAAUACCGCAUAACGUCGCAAGGCCAAAGAGGGGGACCUUCGGGCCUCUUGCCAUCGGAUGUGCCCAGAUGGGAUUAGCUAGUAGGUGGGGUAACGGCUCACCUAGGCGACGAUCCCUAGCUGGUCUGAGAGGAUGACCAGCCACACUGGAACUGAGACACGGUCCAG
RNAcentral lists this ribosomal RNA (232 nucleotides) under uncultured bacterium. RNAcentral's name for it is "partial 16S ribosomal RNA". It matches the Rfam family "Bacterial small subunit ribosomal RNA", at positions 99 to 334 of the family's 1533-position model. The record is from RNAcentral.